CUUCUCUCUUUUUCUUUUCUAAGCUUCAACAGUUGCUACCAAUAUAACCCUUAAUAAAGUCAAGAGACACUUCUCUCAUAUCCCCCACAAAAAAAAGGUGAAGAAAGAUCUAGGGGUCUUAAUAUUAUUUUUAACACCCAUAGAAAAUUUAUAUUAUGAGUUUUUCUACUCUAAAUAACAAGAAACUAUAGAAAUCCAUACCUUCUUCUUUUUGGAUUAAUUUAAGAGAUUUUGUAUAUCCAUAUUCGAGAUAGUGCCUGCCAAAGAAUAUAAGAAAGAGUUCUUAUUAUCACACACGGCAUAAAAGAA
This is a long non-coding RNA of Arabidopsis thaliana (thale cress), 309 nucleotides long. RefSeq annotates it as other RNA. NCBI's taxonomy places the organism in Eukaryota, Viridiplantae, Streptophyta, Magnoliopsida, Brassicales, Brassicaceae. The transcript has a single exon. The record is from RefSeq.